GUCUAUAGCCAUGCUACCCUGAACAAGCCCGAUCUCGUCUGAUCUUGGAAGUUAAGCAGGGUCAGGCCUGGUUAGUACUUGGAUGGGUACUGUAGGAA
RNAcentral lists this ribosomal RNA (98 nucleotides) under Pteropus alecto (black flying fox). The record is from RNAcentral. Lineage: Eukaryota; Metazoa; Chordata; Mammalia; Chiroptera; Pteropodidae.